This 753-nucleotide ribosomal RNA is filed under the name uncultured bacterium. Its description in RNAcentral is "bacterial SSU rRNA". It matches the Rfam family "Bacterial small subunit ribosomal RNA", at positions 690 to 1446 of the family's 1533-position model. The record is from RNAcentral.
GUAGAGAUGUGGAGGAACACCGAUGGCGAAGGCAGCCCCCUGGGAUGACACUGACGCUCAUGUACGAAAGCGUGGGUAGCAAACAGGAUUAGAUACCCUGGUAGUCCACGCCCUAAACGAUGUCAACUGGUUGUUGGGGGAGUGAAAUCCCUUAGUAACGAAGCUAACGCGUGAAGUUGACCGCCUGGGGAGUACGGUCGCAAGAUUAAAACUCAAAGGAAUUGACGGGGACCCGCACAAGCGGUGGAUGAUGUGGAUUAAUUCGAUGCAACGCGAAAAACCUUACCUACCCUUGACAUGUCCGGAAUCCUGCAGAGAUGCGGGAGUGCCCGAAAGGGAAUCGGAACACAGGUGCUGCAUGGCUGUCGUCAGCUCGUGUCGUGAGAUGUUGGGUUAAGUCCCGCAACGAGCGCAACCCUUAUCAUUAGUUGCUACGCAAGGGCACUCUAAUGAGACUGCCGGUGACAAACCGGAGGAAGGUGGGGAUGACGUCAAGUCCUCAUGGCCCUUAUGGGUAGGGCUUCACACGUCAUACAAUGGUCGGUACAGAGGGUUGCCAAGCCGCGAGGUGGAGCCAAUCCCAGAAAGCCGAUCGUAGUCCGGAUUGUUCUCUGCAACUCGAGAGCAUGAAGUCGGAAUCGCUAGUAAUCGCGGAUCAGCAUGUCGCGGUGAAUACGUUCCCGGGUCUUGUACACACCGCCCGUCGCACCAUGGGAGUGGAAUCUGCCAGAAGUAGGUAGCCUAACCGCAAGG